RNAcentral lists this RNase P RNA (375 nucleotides) under Lactobacillus sp. RNAcentral's name for it is "RNase P RNA component class B". It matches the Rfam family "Bacterial RNase P class B". Rfam says of the family: Ribonuclease P (RNase P) is a ubiquitous endoribonuclease, found in archaea, bacteria and eukarya as well as chloroplasts and mitochondria. Its best characterised activity is the generation of mature 5'-ends of tRNAs by cleaving the 5'-leader elements of precursor-tRNAs. Cellular RNase Ps are ribonucleoproteins. Lineage: Bacteria; Bacillati; Bacillota; Bacilli; Lactobacillales; Lactobacillaceae. The record is from RNAcentral.
AAUUUCGGGUAAUUGGGCGCAACUUAUGUUGUGUCAGGAAAGUCCAUGCUCGCACAGGCUGUGAUGCCUGUAGUGUUCGUGCUCAGUGAAAAAAUAAGCUGGGGUGCCUCUUUUGAGGUAACGGCGGGAAAACGUUGCUAAGGCUUCGGCUAUGCGCUAGUAUCCCUGAAAAGUGCCACAGUGACGAAACCAGUAUGAAAACAUGCUGGGUGGAACGCGGUAAACCCCUCGAGCGGGAAACCCAAACUACGGUAGGGGAGCUUCACAUAGGUAACUGAACUGAUUGUGGGGGAAGGUCUUUGACCUUGAGAUAGAUGAUUACCACGGAGUAGAUUACGCCUGACAUCUACGAAGUACAAAACAUGGCUUACAGAA